RNA transcript from Vigna unguiculata (cowpea), 241 nucleotides. RefSeq lists it as uncharacterized. The record is from RefSeq and is a predicted model, not a curated record. Lineage: Eukaryota; Viridiplantae; Streptophyta; Magnoliopsida; Fabales; Fabaceae.
GAUUUUGUUUUAAGACUGGUGAAGCUAGUGCACAACGGUAUUGCAAACUAACUCUUGGUAGGAAGUGGGCUGCACAUAGGCAUAAUUUAUGGAAUGAGUUCUAUGAUCCAACGAAAAGCAAAAAUGAAAUCAUAAGUAAUGUGCCAAAUGGUAUAGACAGAACUCAAUGGACUCAUUUUGUUACUUAUCGUCUAAAACCGGAAACAUUGGAGAUUUGUAAAAAAAAAUAGAGAAAAUCGCA